AUCCUUACCUGGCAGGGGAGAUACCAUGAUCACGAAGGUGGUUUUCCCAGGGUGAGGUGUAUCCAUUGCACUCUGGAUUUGCUGACCCCUGUGAUUUCCCUAAGUGGGGGGGCGGGGGUGAGAGAUUUUUUUUUCUUUAAUAAGAGAAAGCAUCUCUCUUU
This 161-nucleotide small nuclear RNA is filed under the name Echinops telfairi (small Madagascar hedgehog). RNAcentral describes it as "U1 spliceosomal RNA (ENSETEG00000024556.1)". It matches the Rfam family "U1 spliceosomal RNA". Rfam says of the family: U1 is a small nuclear RNA (snRNA) component of the spliceosome (involved in pre-mRNA splicing). Its 5' end forms complementary base pairs with the 5' splice junction, thus defining the 5' donor site of an intron. Lineage: Eukaryota; Metazoa; Chordata; Mammalia; Afrosoricida; Tenrecidae. The record is from RNAcentral.